AAUUUCUAGACCAGAAUCGAAAACUUCAUGAAAUGAGUGGAGGCAUUAACGACCGCAGAGACGGGAAUGGACACGCUAUCCAAACGGACGUUGUGUUUGAAGUAGAUCGACAUAUUCCCAACACUUACUUCUUUUCUGUGAAGAAGCUUGCAGUAUGGCUGUCACUAGGUCAGAAUUGUGCUGGAGCUUGGCGAUUCUCCGAUCUCGUCUCUUCAGUUGACGGACAAGGCGGGACGACACAAAGUUGAUCCGAUGUUGUAGUUCUUCGACUGUCUUCUUCAGCUGAGAACAGAGGGGAGGAUCCGUGAGGCGUGUUUAGUGUCAUUCUCCAGCUGAAAAGAGUUCCUCCUCCAGUGGUACACUUCCGACGUGCUGGAACACUCGGUGAAGGUGUCGCUUUCAAAACUGUCAUGUCGCCCAUCGUACCAACGAUCAUAAAUCUCACACAGAAGAUCAUCAACAAUGGACGUCUUACGGUCGUGGUGCGGAAAAUCGGUCACGAAGCUGAGUGAUGACAUUUCACAGAGCUGUCAAAGACCUUACCCACAUUCUGAAAAAAAAAUAUUGAUAUAAUUUUUUUUAAAUGUAUUCUAGUUUUAGACGUUUUUAACACACUUAACUGUAGUGAGUAAAAAUAAAUAAAAUCCACAAUUAGACAUU
Ostrea edulis (European flat oyster) is the source of this 660-nucleotide long non-coding RNA. RefSeq lists it as uncharacterized. The record is from RefSeq and is a predicted model, not a curated record. The transcript has 3 exons. Lineage: Eukaryota; Metazoa; Mollusca; Bivalvia; Ostreida; Ostreidae.